UCCACGAGGGUUAACAUUGGAGCGAAUAGGAAAGGAAGAAAACCCAGAUAUGAAGCGAAAAUCAAGGACUAAACAUAUGGCAGGAGUCACCUAAAAAAAGGCAGGAGUUAAACUAUUAAGACCCAAAAGAUGGUGAACUAUGCUUGUGGUGUUUGAAGCCGAAGGAAACUUUGGUGGAAGGACUUAGGAGUGUUAACGUGCAGAUUACUUGCAAUAUAUGAGUAUAGGGGCGACAGACUAAUCGAACUAUCUAGUAGCUGGUUCCACCUGAAUAUUCCCUUAGGAAGGUUGAAGUGAGAAAGUAGUGACGAUUGGUAAAAAUGAUGAUUGGACAUGUUGAACAGUUUGACUUUUCAAUAUUUUAACAAACUAUGAAUAGUCGAGAUAUCUUAAACGAUAAUAAUUUAUUAGGAGUGAGCAUAUGCGGACUUCAAAUCGGCCAAGUCUGGUAAGCAGGACUGGCGAUGCGGGAUGAACCGAACAUACAGAUAAAGUAUCCAAGUCUUAUAUGAGGAGAACCAUAAAAGGGUUCAUUCAUAUUGACAAUAGAACGAUGGCCAUGGAAGUUGGAAAUCGCCAAUGAGUGAGUAACAACUCACCUAUCGAAUGGAUGAGCUUUCAAAAUGGAAGGUAUUAUAACGAGAGAGGUGAUACUGUAUCAUUGUGGAGGCUGAGGCACACGAGGAGUAAGGAAAUGCAUGGUGUCAAGAAUACGUGAGUGAUAAAGGUAGAGAAGUAAUUUCUAUUGAAACAGACUUGAGUACAGAUCUUGGUGGAAGUAGCAAAUACUUAAAAAAAAACAUUCAAGGAUUAAAGAGGAGAAAGGUUCCUAGACAACAUUAAUUGGAAUAUGGUGAAUGAAUUCUCAAAGACAGGUUGGUAAAUGCAAGAAUGAACUUAUACAAAACACCACAAGGCUGGCAAAACAACUUUCCCAAAGACUUUGUUU
This 949-nucleotide non-coding RNA is filed under the name Entamoeba invadens IP1. RNAcentral describes it as "Eukaryotic large subunit ribosomal RNA". It matches the Rfam family "Eukaryotic large subunit ribosomal RNA", at positions 665 to 1594 of the family's 3401-position model. The record is from Rfam by way of RNAcentral. Lineage: Eukaryota; Evosea; Mastigamoebida; Endamoebidae.